AACGCACAUUGCGCCCAUAAGUAUUCUUGUGGGCAUGCCUGUUCGAGCGUCAUUUCAUUCUUCAGUUUUAACUGAUGUUGAGAAUUGCGAUCUUAUUGCAGUUUUCUAAAGAAAUUGGCAAGCAAAUGUAAAAGCCGAGUGUAGUAAAUCUUCUCACUUUGGAUCUUACUUUUGACUUUCGAAGUGUUUAACACAAAGUGUUGACCUCGAAUCAGGUAGGAAUACCCGCUGAACUUAA
This 238-nucleotide unclassified non-coding RNA is filed under the name uncultured fungus. Its description in RNAcentral is "partial contains 5.8S ribosomal RNA, internal transcribed spacer 2, and large subunit ribosomal RNA". Lineage: Eukaryota; Fungi. The record is from RNAcentral.